CUUGGUGCCUGCAGGAGUGGGCGGUCCUGGUCUGGGGUCGCCGCGGCUGGCCCUUUUUUAGGGGGCUGGGCCUGUGGGACUCUCCGGCCCUCAGUAACGUCAUUAUAACGCUGCUUCUCCCUCUUGCGGUCGAUGAUGAGCUUAAUUUCCAUGAGAAUGAAAUGGAGAUGAGAAUGUGGAAGACAAAAUUUAUUUUGCAUUUUUUGUCUAGUUCUAGGGUUAAAAAUCAUCUCAUGUACGGUCU
RNAcentral lists this long non-coding RNA (244 nucleotides) under Dasypus novemcinctus (nine-banded armadillo). RNAcentral's name for it is "lncRNA (ENSDNOG00000050178.1)". Lineage: Eukaryota; Metazoa; Chordata; Mammalia; Cingulata; Dasypodidae. The record is from RNAcentral.